GCGGGAGAGAUGGCUAAACUAGAGACCGGGAGAGGCAAGUGGAAUUGCUGGUGUAGGGGUAAAAUCCGUUAAUAUCAGCAAGAACACCUAAUGUGAAGACAGCUUGCUAGAACGGUUCUGACGCUAAGGUACGAAAGCGUGGGGAGCGAAUGGGAUUAGAUACCCCAGUAGUCCACGCCGUAAACGAUGGAUGCUGAGCAUUGGAAGUAUCGACCCUUUCAGUGCUGUCUACCUAAGUUAACACCUUAAGCAUCCCGCCUGGGGAGUACGAGCGCAAGCUUAAAACUCAAAGGAAUAGACGGGGACCCGCACAAGCGGUGGAGCAUGUGGUUUAAUUCGACGGUAAGCGAGGAACCUCACCAAGGUUUGACAUCCGGCUGCAGACUCCUGGAAACAGGAGAGCCUUCGAGGGUGCCGGACAGAUGCUGCAUGGUUGUCGUCAGCUCGUGUCGUGAGAUGUACCGUUAAUUCGGGAAACGAGCGCAACCCCUAUCUUGUGUUUUAUAUGUCACAAGAAACUGCCCGCUUUAAGUGGGAGGAAGGCGGGGAUGACGUCAAAUCAGCAUGGUUCUUACACCUUGGGCGACACACGUGCUACAAUGGAAAGCACAAAGGGACGCCAAAUCGUAAGAUGGAGCAAAUCCUUUAAAACUUUUCUCAGUUCGGAUUGAGGUCUGCAACUCGACCUCAUGAAGCUGGAAUCGCUAGUAAACGUGGAUCAGCCACGCCACGUUGAAUACGUUCUCGGGUCUUGUACUCACCGCCCGUCACACCAAGAGAGCCGAUAAUACCCGAAGGCCCGCCAAAUCGGCGGGACGAAGGUAGGAUUGGUAAUAAGGGUGAAGUCGUAACAAGGCAUCCGUAGCGGAAGCUGUGGAUGGAUCACCUCCUUU
Molecule: ribosomal RNA, 893 nt
Filed under: bacterium
Lineage: Bacteria
Description: bacterial SSU rRNA
Rfam family: Bacterial small subunit ribosomal RNA
Source: RNAcentral